This 2229-nucleotide long non-coding RNA is filed under the name Actinidia chinensis (golden kiwifruit). RNAcentral describes it as "long non-coding RNA (ACHI_LNC000873)". The record is from RNAcentral. Lineage: Eukaryota; Viridiplantae; Streptophyta; Magnoliopsida; Ericales; Actinidiaceae.
AAAUGGACUUGGACAAUAAAGCCAAACAAUGUGUAAUGAUAUAUAUCUAUAUAUAUACACACAUAAUCUGUAUUUGAGAUUUGUAAUUCUCCCCUUUUUUGCAUGAAUCUAGAUGUGCAAAAUGGCCGAUCGAAUCGGCUUGUCUAGUUUGGUCUCGGGUAUGAGUGAGCUCGGUCCGGGCUUAGUCUACUAGUCCAUGCAGGUGGCUGGCCAGGUUGGGCCCAACUCUAAAUUCUUCCCUUACUUUGUUUGCAGAAUCUAGAUGUGCAAAAGGGUCGGAUUUGUCGGCCUGUCUAAUUUGGUCUCGGGUAUGAGUGGGCUCGGUCCGGGCUUAGUUUACUAGCCCAUGCAAGUGGCGGGUCAGGUUGAACCCAACUCUAAAUUAACAACCAUACCUGAUCUAUCCCUUGGAACCUGCCCACCCGAUGGGUGGGCAGACCCGACCUGAAUCAGCUCGAAUAUUUUUUUUUUGAGAGUUUUUUUUGACUUUUUAUUUUUUGUUUUUUUGAUUUGUUUUAAAAUUUUGGCGACAUAUUUGGAAUGUUAUAUUUGAAAUGUUAUAUUUUUUAUUUGGAUUUGAAAUAAGUUUUUUUUUAGGACUUCGGUUAAAUAAAUUAUAUACUUGUUAUAUAAAUUUUUUAUUUGGGUUUAAAAUAUUGUUAAUGUCCUGCAGGUGCUACUAGAUGUGCCAUGCCAGCGACGGAAAAAGUCGAAUUAUUUGAGGCCAAUUUGGAGUACAUUAUUAUUACCCUUGGCCUCAAACUCAUUGUAUUUAGCCUCUUCAAAAUCUUUAAAAUUCUAAUCACGAGGAUCCAUUUUUUUAAAAAGUACUUUUUUUUAAAUAUUAACGAUAAAAUAAAAUAAAAUAAAUUUUGAUACUAAGAUACCUAAGUCUGAAACGCUUGAAAUUUUAGAAUUUAUCUCUUAUUCAACACUUGAGAAAUUCCGAGCAAUCGAGUAAUUGAGAUUUUUUUCAAUACUUUCGAAAAAUUGAAAUCUUCUUGAGAUUUGUAGAAUAUUGAGAAGUAAGUAUAGAAUUGUUAGAUUGAGUAAAAAUUGAGUGAGGAAGAAGUAUGGAGAAUUACAGUUAUUUAUAAGAAUUUUUGUGGGCUCAUUUGAUCAAAAUACCCCCAAACUAGCCAUUUAGAGUGUUGUAGAGAGGUGUUUCGGUCAUUUAUAGCUCAAUUAAUCCAAAACUAACUGUUAUAUAGUUGUUGGUGGCAAAAAAGAUAAAAAAAAAAACUCAAAAAAAUAAUAAAAAGUGUCAAACUAACCGUUAUUUACUGAGGAUUACAUGGUGUUGACGAGUGGAGGGGGCACAGGUUGAUUGGGCCAAAUCCAUUCCCAAACAGCCCGGCCCAAUCCAAGUCAGACAACCCGGGCUGAACUUUUUUUAACCUUAAUUAAAUCUGUUAAUGUGCCUUAUUCUUUUCCUUUUUUUAUUUGGCUAUAGGUUUUUUCAUGAAGAUGUUAUUAUGAUCUCAAUAUGUUUUUCAUGUUUCACGUUCGAAAACUCUUAGAUGCUUAUUAAAAAUAAGUUUCAUAUUUAAUAUUUUUUUUUGUUUUUAAUAAUUUUUUUUUAAAAAUUAGAUGAGAAUUUUUAUAUUUUUAAAUUUCUCUUGUCCAGCUAAGAAAUAUAAAUUUUUGCCCAGUUAAAAAUUAACUAAAUACAUAAAAACUUAAAAGCCGAUACAGUGAAAAUAUUUAAAAAAGAUCUAUCAUCUCUAAUUAGGCGUUAUUUUAUUAUAUUUCUGGUAGAUUCAGGAAGUUUCAAUAUUUAUAUGAUUCCUCAUCGAAACAAGAUAAGAAUGGAUCUCGUCAGGUAUCAAUCGUGACAGAUUAUUUUAAAACUUUUUGAAAAAUUUUCAGUGCCUUCCAUAUAUAUUUUAGAGGAGAAUAUUAUUAGCGUGAGUCACGACUCACGCACAGGCCAGGAUGCAUUCAUGUCAGUGAUGUCACAUGGAGAGAGAUAAUAUUAUUAACCCAAGUCAACUGCCAGCCAGGAUGGAUGCAUGUCACAUGGAGAGAGAGAAUAUUAUUAUCGCAAGUCAACUGUAGACGAGGAUGCAUGCAUUGUGUAGACGUGUCAAACCGGCGUGCUAACACCGGCACGUUAAAAUUUUGGUAGGGACACGGUGAUAAGUCAGAUUGGGCUACUGUUUUGGGGUAUAAAGCACGGCAUGAUAUGUUUAUGAAAGCAAAUUUUAAAUAAUUUUAAAUUUUUGACGC